GGGGAAUUUUGGACAAUGGGCGCAAGCCUGAUCCAGCCAUGCCGCGUGUCUGAAGAAGGCCUUCGGGUUGUAAAGGACUUUUGUCAGGGAAGAAAAGGGCGGGGUUAAUACCCCUGUCUGAUGACGGUACCUGAAGAAUAAGCACCGGCUAACUACGUGCCAGCAGCCGCGGUAAUACGUAGGGUGCGAGCGUUAAUCGGAAUUACUGGGCGUAAAGCGGGCGCAGACAGUUACUUAAGCAGGAUGUGAAAUCCCCGGGCUCAACCUGGGAACUGCGUUCUGAACUGGGUGACUAGAGUGUGUCAGAGGGAGGUAGAAUUCCACGUGUAGCAGUGAAAUGCGUAGAGAUGUGGAGGAAUACCGAUGGCGAAGGCAGCCUCCUGGGAUAACACUGACGUUCAUGCCCGAAAGCGUGGGUAGCAAACAGGAUUAGAUACCCUGGUAGUCCACGCCCUAAACGAUGUCGAUUAGCUGUUGGGCAGCAUGACUGCUUAGUAGCGAAGCUAACGCGUGAAAUCGACCGCCUGGGGAGUACGGUCGCAAGAUUA
RNAcentral lists this ribosomal RNA (548 nucleotides) under uncultured bacterium. RNAcentral describes it as "bacterial SSU rRNA". It matches the Rfam family "Bacterial small subunit ribosomal RNA", at positions 356 to 896 of the family's 1533-position model. The record is from RNAcentral.